RNAcentral lists this ribosomal RNA (432 nucleotides) under uncultured bacterium. RNAcentral describes it as "partial 16S ribosomal RNA". It matches the Rfam family "Bacterial small subunit ribosomal RNA", at positions 29 to 506 of the family's 1533-position model. The record is from RNAcentral.
AACGAACGCUGGCGGCAUGCCUAACACAUGCAAGUCGAACGAGACCUUCGGGUCUAGUGGCGCACGGGUGCGUAACGCGUGGGAACCUGCCCUUAGGUUCGGAAUAACUCCCCGAAAGGGGUGCUAAUACCGGAUAAUGUCUUCGGACCAAAGAUUUAUCGCCUUUGGAUGGGCCCGCGUUGGAUUAGCUAGUUGGUAGGGUAAAAGCCUACCAAGGCGACGAUCCAUAGCUGGUCUGAGAGGAUGAUCAGCCACACUGGGACUGAGACACGGCCCAGACUCCUACGGGAGGCAGCAGUGGGGAAUAUUGGACAAUGGGCGAAAGCCUGAUCCAGCAAUGCCGCGUGAGUGAUGAAGGCCUUAGGGUUGUAAAGCUCUUUUACCCGGGAUGAUAAUGACAGUACCGGGAGAAUAAGCACCGGCUAACUCCGU